This 647-nucleotide ribosomal RNA is filed under the name Rhizoctonia solani. RNAcentral describes it as "eukaryotic LSU rRNA". The stretch from base 240 to 393 matches the Rfam family "5.8S ribosomal RNA". The record is from RNAcentral. Lineage: Eukaryota; Fungi; Basidiomycota; Agaricomycetes; Cantharellales; Ceratobasidiaceae.
AAGGAUCAUUAUUGAAUUAAUGUAGAGUUUGGUUGUAGCUGGCUCCUAAUUAAACUUGGGGGCAUGUGCACACCUUUCUCUUUCAUCCCAUACACACCUGUGCACCUGUGAGACAGAUGUUUUGUGGGGGGGAAGGAACUUUAUUGGACCUUCUACUCCCCCUUGACUUCUGUCUACUUAAUUCAUAUAAACUCAAUUUAUUUUAAAACGGAUGUAAUGGAUGUAACACAUCUAAUACUAAGUUUCAACAACGGAUCUCUUGGCUCUCGCAUCGAUGAAGAACGCAGCGAAAUGCGAUAAGUAAUGUGAAUUGCAGAAUUCAGUGAAUCAUCGAAUCUUUGAACGCACCUUGCGCUCCUUGGUAUUCCUUGGAGCAUGCCUGUUUGAGUAUCAUGAAAUCUUCAAAGUCAAACCUUUUGUUAAUUCAAUUGGUUCUGCUUUGGUAUUGGAGGAUUAUUGCAGCUUCACACCUGCUCCUCUUUGUGCAUUAGCUGGAUCUCAGUGUUAUGCUUGGUUCCACUCAGCGUGAUAAGUUAUCUAUCGCUGAGGACACCCUGUUAAAAAGGGGUGGCCAAGGUAAAUGCAGAUGAACCGCUUCUAAUAGUCCAUUGACUUGGACAAUAUCUAAUUUAUGAUCUGAUCUCAAA